Sycon ciliatum is the source of this 176-nucleotide long non-coding RNA. RefSeq lists it as uncharacterized. The record is from RefSeq and is a predicted model, not a curated record. The transcript has 3 exons. NCBI's taxonomy places the organism in Eukaryota, Metazoa, Porifera, Calcarea, Leucosolenida, Sycettidae.
AGCCAAACAACAAGAUCAGGGUGGUGAUUGUCAGUUCUUGAGCUUUGAACGGGCAGAAAGCUAAACAACAAGAUCAGGGUGGCGAUGGUCAGUUCUUGAGCUUCGAACGGGCAGAAAGCUAAACAACAAGAUCAGGAUGGCGAUGGUCAGUUCUUGAGCUUCGAACGGGCAGAAAG